CUGCCCAUUCAGAUUUUUUCGGUGGGAAAGCAGAGGGAGGAGCAUCAGAUGGUGUGGGAAGAGAAGCCUGGGGUGGCUCUGCUGGAAGAAGAGGAACCUGUGGGAUCCCAGGGCAGCUCUGACCCUAAACCCAGGUUUAAAUGAGUGAUAAGUGGGAGAAUCCAAGGUGAUUAUAGCAAUCCUUUGGCAUGCAGCUGGACUGAGAGAAGUUUCAUCCCAGCUGGAUCUGUGUCUCUGUGGGAAGGAGGUUCUGCUGGAGGACUCUCCCCGUGCCUGGAGAACCCCUGUGUGCCCUCCUGGGAGGUCUGUCCCUCAAACAAAGGAGGCAGAAGCAUCCAACGCAUGACACCCUCUCCGAAGGUCAGGCUCGAGGAGGCAUCUGCUGGAGGUUGGAAAAACUGAGCAGACGUGGGAAAACCUACAGGGAAGUGCUGGGCUGACCUCGGGAUGGAGGGCAGGGAGCUCAUGUGAGCCUUGGAGGCUUCAGGCUGGGAUUUGGAUGCA
Molecule: long non-coding RNA, 504 nt
Organism: Pipra filicauda (Wire-tailed manakin)
Lineage: Eukaryota; Metazoa; Chordata; Aves; Passeriformes; Pipridae
Exons: 3
Source: RefSeq, a predicted model, not a curated record